AUUAUCAUUCAUUAAGACUUUCUGUAAAUGCUCCUUUCUUGUUCUGUUUCAUUUGGAGAGUUUCUCCUGCUUAGAGAAACUUGAAUUCUCUUUUGUGCUGAAGAUAAUUUUUUAGGUCUUUGGCAUCUUGAUUCUUCUAUUGUACCACCCAAUUAGUGAAAACUUGGAUAAUUUGUUUCCUUACAGUGAGCUCGCUAUGGAAUCUGGGCUCAUUAUCUACUUAUCAAAAAGAAAUAUGGGCUCAUUGUCAUCAAAUUAUGGGUGUUUUCCCAUCAGGCAUGAAUUUUCUAAACUUUUUUUUGUAGAUGGUGGAGAUAUCCCUAGAUAAUGUAAUAGGAAAUGUGGGAUU
Juglans microcarpa x Juglans regia is the source of this 349-nucleotide long non-coding RNA. RefSeq lists it as uncharacterized. The transcript is spliced from 4 exons. NCBI's taxonomy places the organism in Eukaryota, Viridiplantae, Streptophyta, Magnoliopsida, Fagales, Juglandaceae. The record is from RefSeq and is a predicted model, not a curated record.